GAGGAAUCGGUCUGAUGAUGACGUGCAUCGGGACGUUGUGAACCUCCUCGACGGUGUCCGAGUGAAUCGACCUGCUGACGCUGUUUUUACCGUCCGCCGCACCGUCCUGAGACGACGCCACCGACAUGUUUCUACGGGGGAUUUCAAAGAGCCAGCCAGGUUGCUGUGGUUACAAAAAAAAAGGACGUCUGAGCCCGCAGCAUUGCACAGAACUCACAAUAGUGCAGUGAUGCAAGGGAACAUGACACGCUCAGCUGCGUUAAGGAAGGUUGCAAUUUUACAGUGAGGAUGAGCGUCAGAUAAUAGCUCAUCAGAGAAGUCUCCUGUAUAAGAAGAUGCAUGCUAGAGCCCCUCUUAAAUAAAGUAGUCUCACUGAUUAAACCUCCCUUUCUUCAUUUAUGGUAUGUCAGUUGUCUGCGGCUCAGCCUGUCUCCAUGUUUGCUUAAUGACUCUGCUCUGUGAGUGCUGGCAUUACAAAUCAAACAGACAUGUUUCAACUCUAAACCUUAAUAAAUAUCUUUUAUUUCUCCAGACUUUUUAUUAUAGCAAGGGUUUUGUAUUUUUUAAUGUAAGUGUUUAAAAAAACAAACAAAAAACUACUGUAUUAAUUACAGUUAAUUUUGCUGCAAACAAAUUCAUUUUUGGUUUUCGUACAAAAUGAACUUACACAGCUGCUUUCAUCCUGUGGGAUUUCAUGCGACUUCUUCAAGCAGGUUUAAGCAUGAUGCAGCAAAGCACAAAGCACCACAAGUGUUUUAAAUGUCCCCAACUGUACAGAGCAUGAUUUCAGGGAGAUAUAUUUUAUUGGCAUCGUUCAUGUCUUUCCUUUCCCUCUGAAGCAGCCCAGUGCCAAAGGAGCUAAAAGGCUUGCUGGCAGCUAAAUGCAUCCAAACAGAACUCAAUACAUUCUUAUGUUGUGAAUCUCAGGAGCUUAAUAAAUAUUAAAUACAUUUUACCUCAAGGGUUGAUAUUCUAUAGGUUGAACAUAUGAGUGCAAAUAUAAAAUGUGGGGAAAUUCCUUCCCUGAGAGAAAUAGUGCAUAACUGCAGAAAAAAGCCAUUCCUAAACACUGUGUGCAGCAAACGGUGGAAAUUAGUUAUUGACUGCUUUUUAAUGAAAUUCAAAGUUUAGAACUGCUCAAUAGGCUAUCAUAUGUAAAAUAGUGCAGCUGUUAGAACAGUGCUGGAGAAGACAGAAAUAGUGAGAGGAACAGAUCAAGUAUCUGCGACACACAAUAAUAGGUUAUUGAACACAGUGUGCUUGAGGCCCGAUAAUGUGAGACAUGGCAUCACACACAUUGUUUGUGAAGAGGGUCACCUGCAGCCAGCACGAAACAGAAACAGGCCAUUAAGAAAUCAGUUGAAGUGCUCUCUUACUACAGCGUCUCCAUUCUCAAGGGUUUCUGUUCACACACCCACUUUGUCAAAGACAUGACCAUGACACCCGGGGACAGGGAAACACCAGGCCUGUGCACACAUUAUUAUGCUGCACUGCAUGGGUUCACUGUUUGAAACUACGCAGAUGGUGUUUGUCCGAGAGGGAGAGAGAGCAAAAACGUAAACAAAAUUUAAAAAAAGAACAAAUAUUAUCUAUUUAUCUUUUUUUAAACAAAAUUCUUACAAUUACAAAUUCUGCAGCUUCAACAACUAUAUCCACCUGUUUUACAGUCACACUGUAGACUGUUAUGAAUAUAGCUGAAGGGCCCUCUGCUCUACAUGCGACAUCAUGGCCUUCAUUUUGCUGAGAUUUUUUUCAGCAAAACAAACGGUAUCAGUGUAAGCAGAGUUGUUUACUAUGUUUCAAUUAUCCAAGGUCAGACAUGGAGCUCAUCAUUUAGGACUCGCACUGUAUCAGCCUUUACAGCUCAUAGACUCAUUUCUCUAAUGCAAAGUAAGCAUGUAAUUAAUGGACCCUCUCAGCCACCCCUCUUUGUUGUUCGACAGACACUCAAGUCAAAUGUCUCCACAAUGGGGGGAAAGAAAAUCUGCUGGCGCGGCAGAAGUGCUGAUGUUAGGUAUUUCAGCCUCGCUCAGAAUUCUUUUAUUUUGCUUCUCUUUUUUCUUUGACUCAGCAUGAAAAGGACGAUUCUUUUGUUCAAAUUAAACGCCUAAAGUGCCUCAUCGUUUCUUCUUCUUUUUUAUAUAAUGCUUAUUUUUCAUGGUGUUGAACAAUAGAUUCAGGAACAAUAGAGAGUGACAAUAAUUCUACAAAUGGAUUCUUUAAUUUUAAAAUAAAAUAACAUUACAAGCAACAAAAUAUGCCUGGGAAAUAUAUAAAAAAUUGUUUGUUUUUAUUCCUUGCCAUAAUUCUUUAGUCCUUACCCAGUUAGUUGUUUUUAAUUUAGCAAACUAUUAGAGUUUGCAAACCAAUCCAGACAUUUUUGUUAAUUCCACUAAUCCUGAUCCAAAAUUCACUGAGCCUUGUUGUUGACACGGUCGAAUAACAGGUGGGCAUCAUCACAACAUUUAGCUGUGGACUGCGAAGCCUCUCUCACUGUGUAAAUAUCCUAACAAAUCAUAACAAAGACACACAUAUGGCCCUUUAAACGUGGCCACAAAAUGGAAGCGGCGAGCUUAAAGCAGCCCGUGAAAGUGAAGGUCGCCUCUGGAGCUUACUGUGGCCGGCCCGUGUGUUGACCACAGUGCAGCUAUGUGCCUUUCUUCAUGUUUACUGUACAACCUCUGUCACGUGAUCAGCCUCAUUGCUGCCCCAAGCAUUUUUGUCUCCUUUUUCUCCUUCCCUUUGCUAUCCCUUCAGCCCAGCUCCCCACCUCCCUCCCGGCUGUACUGUACAGUGUGUUGAUGUCUCUUGUGGCGACGAUAGGCCUGCACGGCUGAAACUCUAACCCCUGCUAGUUUUCAAAUGCCCGGAAGGAAGAGAAAGAUGUAGUGGAGCGAUGGGGGUGGGGAGACUGUGCAUGCUCCAUUUGGAUAGGAAGAGGGGGGCAAGGGAGGAUCGGACCGUGAUGGGAACUCAAGGACAAUAACAGCUAAGGACAAAUGUAUCAUUCGAUACUCAUCUCUCAUAUUCAUGAAUUUUUUAGUCCACAUGAUGACCAGAUACAGUCAUCCUGUGUGUGUUCAGCCAACACAGGCUUGGUAUAGUCAUACAAAUACGUAACUGGAGCUUCUCCUGAUUAUACACACGUUUUGUUCCCUAUUUACAUAAGCUAAUCCGUGUCUGUGACCUGAAUUGUGUCUGUCCUUCACUGGAGUCAAAAAACAAAAGUCUGGGAGCAGGGGGGGUGGGGUGCCUCUGAAGAGGAUUAUUUAGGAUAUUGAUGCAAAAAUCAGCUGGUUGCAUGUAACAUCUCACACUAAUUUACACACUACAAGCAUGUUAUUGGCUGAAGCAAAAGAAAAUCUCACCCGACACAAAAACAAAAGAGGAUGCCAUCUGUGCUAAGUGUGAAAAUGUCAGGCAUGCUGAAAUCAGCACCGGAGCUUUCUACAGGCAGGAGUGCUAGCACAUCUUUAACUGGAGCGGGGCAGACUGGAGGCAUGUUA
Long non-coding RNA from Siniperca chuatsi (mandarin fish), 3506 nucleotides. RefSeq lists it as uncharacterized. Lineage: Eukaryota; Metazoa; Chordata; Actinopteri; Centrarchiformes; Sinipercidae. The record is from RefSeq and is a predicted model, not a curated record. The transcript is spliced from 3 exons.